GAUUGAACGCUGGCGGUAUGCUUAACACAUGCAAGUCGAACGGAAACGAUACUAGCUUGCUAGUAGGCGUCGAGUGGCGGACGGGUGAGUAACGCGUAGGAAUCUGCCUGAUAGUGGGGGAUAGCCCGAAGAAAUUCGGAUUAAUACCGCAUAAUCUAUUCGUAGUAAAGUGGGGGACUUUCGAGCCUCACGCUAUCAGAUGAGCCUGCGUAAGAUUAGCUAGUUGGUAGGGUAAAAGCCUACCAAGGCAACGAUCUUUAGCUGGUCUGAGAGGAUGAUCAGCCACAUCGGGACUGAGACACGGCCCGAACUCCUACGGGAGGCAGCAGUGGGGAAUAUUGGACAAUGGGGGCAACCCUGAUCCAGCAAUACCGCGUGUGUGAAGAAGGCCUGAGGGUUGUAAAGCACUUUCAAUUGUGAAGAAAAGUUAACGGUUAAUAACCGUUAGCCUUGACGUUAACUUUAGAAGAAGCACCGGCUAACUCCGUGCCAGCAGCCGCGGUAAUACGGAGGGUGCAAGCGUUAAUCGGAAUUACUGGGCGUAAAGCGUGCGUAGGCGGUUUAUUAAGUCAGAUGUGAAAGCCCUGGGCUUAACCUGGGAACUGCAUUUGAAACUGGUCAACUAGAGUAUGGUAGAGGAAAGUGGAAUUUCUGGUGUAGCGGUGAAAUGCGUAGAUAUCAGAAGGAACAUCAAUGGCGAAGGCAGCUUUCUGGACCAAUACUGACGCUGAGGUACGAAAGCGUGGGUAGCAAACAGGAUUAGAUACCCUGGUAGUCCACGCCGUAAACGAUGAUAACUAGCCGUUGGGGGGAUUUACCCUUUAGUGGCGAAGCUAACGCGUUAAGUUAUCCGCCUGGGGAGUACGGCCGCAAGGUUAAAACUCAAAGGAAUUGACGGGGACCCGCACAAGCGGUGGAGCAUGUGGUUUAAUUCGAUGCAACGCGAAGAACCUUACCUGGUCUUGACAUCCUGCGAACUUUCUAGAAAUAGAUUGGUGCCUUCGGGAACGCAGUGACAGGUGCUGCAUGGCUGUCGUCAGCUCGUGUCGUGAGAUGUUGGGUUAAGUCCCGUAACGAGCGCAACCCCUAUCCUUAUUUGCCAGCACGUCAUGGUGGGAACUAUAAGGAGACUGCCGGUGAUAAACCGGAGGAAGGCGGGGACGACGUCAAGUCAUCAUGGCCCUUACGACCAGGGCUACACACGUGCUACAAUGGGAAGGACAAAGAGCCGCGAAGCCGCGAGGUGUAGCUAAUCUCAGAAAUCUUUUCGUAGUCCGGAUUGGAGUCUGCAACUCGACUCCAUGAAGUCGGAAUCGCUAGUAAUCGUAGAUCAGAAUGCUACGGUGAAUACGUUCCCGGGUCUUGUACACACCGCC
RNAcentral lists this ribosomal RNA (1376 nucleotides) under uncultured bacterium. RNAcentral describes it as "bacterial SSU rRNA". It matches the Rfam family "Bacterial small subunit ribosomal RNA", at positions 27 to 1394 of the family's 1533-position model. The record is from RNAcentral.